UUGGGAAAAAACUCAACUAAUACAAAAAACAUCAGAAACCCCUAUAAAAUGCGGAGAUAACGAUACAAUAAUAAUACCAUUAUUAAGAAAAGUGUAAUAAGUCUAAUUUGCCCAGCCCAUAAUAUAAAAAUCAAAUCAAAAUAUAAACCAAACAAAAGAUUAAUAACAGUCUAUAGUCCAAAUACAUGGGCCCAACAUGGCCAAAAUCAAUUAACCUAGCCCAAGCUUAUACCCAACUACACUCGGCCCAAUUACUAUGUGGCCCAAAACUAAAAGAAACCCUAGCAUCAGUCCUCCUUCCAGCGCCGAAGUCGAAUCCAAAGGCUCCCUCGUGCGUGCUGCGCCUAUGCGCACUUGCAUCUCCUCCGCACAUGUUUUCGGCCCUCCCCUUCACACGUGACAGGCCUCCGUACACUUGCGCCUCUGCCUCUGUACCUCUAUGUCGACCUCUGCCCUCGUACACCUGCAAAUGAGACGCAAACAACGCAGCAGAAAAAAGCAAAAAACUGUAUUUUCUUUUUUGUUUUACUUUUUUCGACCUAUAAAGCAAGGGUCGGAAUCUUUGUAAAGUGUUUUACGGACAGAUAGAGAAAAAUACCAAAAAUAUAGCAAAAAAAAUCAAAGAAAAAGUUGGCUGAAGGUGAUUCCUCCUUUUUUUUCCCUCGUUUCUAUUUCUUCGAUGUUCGUUUAUUGUUAUUAAUGAUGGUAGAGUAAAAUAGGGGAGAAAGAGUGACCUCUGUGUUGGUGUCGACCGAAACCUCGCUCAUUUCAUCUCAAUUAAAGUUCGGGCGAGGGCUAUGAGGCCGAAAUCGGCGGAGCGUUCGGUGAUAUGGGGCUUGGGUCGAAACCCUAGCAGACAAGAGGGGGGCGCCCCUUUCUUUUUCUUUUUUUUUUC
Molecule: long non-coding RNA, 895 nt
Filed under: Gossypium barbadense (sea-island cotton)
Lineage: Eukaryota; Viridiplantae; Streptophyta; Magnoliopsida; Malvales; Malvaceae
Description: long non-coding RNA (GBAR_LNC020824)
Source: RNAcentral